AUAUUAUGAUGUUCCCCAACUUUUGGACUCAAUCCGAUAUCGAUUGGUCCUUGAAAUCGGACAAUUCAGGUUCGUACGAAGUUCGUUCUGAAAUGGGGUGGUUGGUGUUUUGUAUAGUUCUACAGAUUGGAUUUCACUCAAAACCCGCCAAAUGACUCCUCCCGGAAUAUUAUGAUGUUCCCGAACUUUUGGACUCAAUCCGAUAUCGAUUGGUCCUUGAAAUCGAACAAUUCAGGUUCGUACGAAGUUCGUUCUAAAAUGGGGUGGUUGGUGUAUUGUAUAGUUCUAGAGAUUGAAUUUCACUAAAAACCCACCAAAUGACAACUCCCACAAUAUUAUGAUGUUCCAUAAGUUUUGGAUUCAAUCCGAUAUCGAUCGGUCCACAAAAUCUGACAAUUCAGGUUCGUACGAAGUUCGUUCUGAAAUGGAGUGGUUGGCGUAUUGUAUAGUUCUAGGGAUUUCAUUUCACUCAAAACCCACCAAAUGCCUCCUCCCACAAUAUUUUAUUGUUCCCCAAGUUUUGGACUCAAUCCAAUAUCGAUUGGGCAAUGAAAUCGAACAAUCAGGUCGUACGAAGUUCGUUCUAAAAUGGGGUGGUUGGUGUAUUGUAUAGUUCUAGAGAUUGGAUUUCACUAAAAACCCACCAAAUGACUCCUCCCACAAUAUUAUGAUGUUGCCCAAGUUUUGGACUCAAUCCGAUAUCGAUCGGUCCACGAAAUUUGACAAUUCAGGAUCGUACGAAGUUCGUUCUGAAAUGGGGUGGUUGUUGUAUUGUAUAAUUCUGGAGAUUGGAUUUCACUCAAAACCCACCAAAUGACUCCUCCCACAAUAUUAUGAUGUUCCCCAAGUUUUGGACUCAAUCCGAUAUCGAUUGGUCCUCAAAAUCGGACAAUUCAGGUUCCUACGAAGUUCGUUCUGAAAUGGGGUGGUUUGUGUAUUGUAUAGUUCUGGGGAUUGGAUUUCACUCAAAACCCACCAAAUGACUCCUCCCACAAUAUUAUGAUGUUCCCCAAGUUUUGGACUCAAUCCGAUAUCGAUUGGUCCUCAAAAUCGGACAAUUCAGGUUCCUACGAAGUUCGUUCUGAAAUGGGGUGGUUGGUGUAUUGUAUAGUUCUGGAGAUUGGAUUUCACUCAAAACCCACCAAAUGACUCCUCCCACAAUAUUAUGAUGUUCCCCACGUUUUGGACUCAAUCCGAUAUCGAUCGGUCCACGAAAUUUGACAAUUCAAGAUCGUACGAAGUUCGUUCUGAAAUAGAGUGAUUGGUGUAUUGUAUAGUUCUACGGAUUGUAUUUCACUCAAAACAUACCAAAUGACUCCUCCCACAAUAUUAUGAUGUUCCCCAACUUUUGGACUCAAUCCGAUAUCGAUUGGUCCUUGAAAUCGGACAAUUCAGGUUCGUACGAAGUUCAUUCUGAAAUGGGGUGGUUGGUGUAUUGUAUAGUUCUAGAGAGUGGAUUUCACUCAAAACCCGCCAAUUGACUUCUCCCGGAAUAUUAUGAUGUGCCCCAAGUUUUGGACUCAAUCCGAUAUCGAUUGGUCCUUGAAAUCUGACAAUUCAGGUUCGUACGAAGUUCGUUCUGAAAUGGGGUGGUUGGUGUUUUGUAUAGUUCUAGAGAUUGGAUUUCACUCAAAACUGCCAAUUGACUCCUCCCGGGAAUAUUAUGAUGCUCCCCAACUUUUGGACUUAAUCCGAUAUCGAUUGGUCCUGAAAUCGGACAAUUCAGGUUCCUACGAAGUUCGUUCUGAAAUGGGGUGGUUGGUCUAUUGUAUAGUUCUAGAGAUUGGAUUUCACUAAAAGCCCACCAAAUGACUCCUCCCACAAUAUUAUGAUGUUCCCCAAGUUUUGGACUCAAUCCGAUAUCUAUUGGUCCUUGAUAUCGGACAAUUCAGGUUCGUACGAAGUUCGUUCUGAAAUGGGGUGGUUGGUGUAUUGUAUAGUUCUGAAGAUUGGAUUUCACUCAAAACCCGCCAAAUGACUCCUCCCAGAAUAUUAUGAUGUUCCCAAACUUUUGGAUUCAAUCCGAUAUCGAUUGGUCCUUGAAAUCGGACAAUUCAGGUUCCUACGAGUUCGUUCUAAAAUGGGGUGGUUGGUGUAUUGUAUAGUUCUAGGGAUUGUAUUUCUCUCAAAACUUACCAAAUGACUCCUCCCACAAUAUUAUGAUGUUCCCCAAGCUUUGGACUCAAUCCGAUAUCUAUCGGUCCACGAAAUUUGACAAUUCAGGAUCGUACGAAGUUCGUUCUCAAAUGGAGUGGUUGGUGUAUUGUAUAGUUCUAGGGAUUGUAUUUCACUCAAAACCCACCAAAUGACUCCCCCCACAAUAUUAUGAUGUUCCCCAAGUUUUGGACUCAAUCCGAUAUCGAGUGGUCCACGAAAUUUGACAAUUCAGGUUCGUACGAAGUUCGACGAAAUGGGGUGGUUGGUGUACUGUAUAGUUCUAGAGACUGGAUUUCACUCAAAACCCCGCCAAAAGACUUCCUCCCGGAUAUUAUGAUGUUCCCCCACUUUUGGACUCAAUCAUAUAUCGAUGGGACCUUGAAAUCUGACAAUUCAAGGUUCCUAAGAAGUUCGUUCCGAAAAGGGGUGGUUGGUGUAUUGUAUAGUUCUAGAGAUUGGAUUUCACUCAAAACCCACCAAAUGACUCCUCCCACAGUAUUAUGAUGUUCCCCACGUUUUGGACUCAAUCAGAUAUCGAUCGGUCCACAAAAUUUGACAAUUCAGGGUCGUACGAAGUUCGUUCGGAAAUGGAGUUGUUGGUGUAUUGUAUAGUUCUAGGGAUUGCAUUUCACUCAAAGCCCACCAAAUGCCUCUUUCCCACAAUAUUAUGUUGUUCCCCAAGUUUUGGACUCAAUCCGAUAUCGAUUGGUCCUUGAAAUCGGACAAUUCAGGUUCGUACGAAGUUCGUUCUGAAAUGGGGUGAUUAGUGUAUUAAAUAGUUCUAGAGAUUGGAUUUCACUCAAAACCCACCAAAUGACUCCUCCCACAAUAUUAUGAUGUUCCCCAAGUUUUGGACUCAAUCCGAUAUCGAUUGGUCCUUGAAAUCGGACAAUUCAGGUUCGUACAAAGUUCGUUCUGAAAUGGGGUGGUUGGUGUAUUGUAUAGUUCUAGGGAUUGUAUUUCACUCAAAACCCACCAAAUGACUCCUCCCACAAUAUUAUGAUGUUCCCCAAGUUUUGGACUCAAUCCGAUAUCGAUUGGUCCUUGAAAUCGGACAAUUCAGGUUCGUACGAAGUUCGUUCAUAAAUGGGGUGGUUGGUGUAUUGUAUAGUUCUAGGGAUUGGAUUUCACUCAAAACCAACCAAAUGACUCCUCCCAAAAUAUUAUGAUGUUACCCAAGUUUUGGACUCAAU
This 3350-nucleotide long non-coding RNA is filed under the name Prunus persica (peach). RNAcentral describes it as "long non-coding RNA (PPER_LNC008550)". Lineage: Eukaryota; Viridiplantae; Streptophyta; Magnoliopsida; Rosales; Rosaceae. The record is from RNAcentral.